RNAcentral lists this ribosomal RNA (471 nucleotides) under uncultured bacterium. RNAcentral describes it as "bacterial SSU rRNA". It matches the Rfam family "Bacterial small subunit ribosomal RNA", at positions 355 to 825 of the family's 1533-position model. The record is from RNAcentral.
UGGGGAAUUUUGGACAAUGGGCGCAAGCCUGAUCCAGCCAUACCGCGUGAGUGAAGAAGGCCUUCGGGUUGUAAAGCUCUUUCAGUCGAGAAGAAAAGGUUGUGACCAAUAAUCACAACUCAUGACGGUAUCGACAGAAGAAGCACCGGCUAACUACGUGCCAGCAGCCGCGGUAAUACGUAGGGUGCGAGCGUUAAUCGGAAUUACUGGGCGUAAAGGGUGCGCAGGCGGUUUUGUAAGCCAGAUGUGAAAUCCCCGGGCUUAACCUGGGAACUGCGUUUGAAACUACAAGACUAGAGUGUGGCAGAGGGGGGUGAAUUCCAUGUGUAGCAGUGAAAUGCGUAGAGAUAUGGAAGAACAUCGAUGGCGAAGGCAGCCCCCUGGGUUAACACUGACGCUCAUGCACGAAAGCGUGGGGAGCAAACAGGAUUAGAUACCCCCGUAGUCCCUGAGCGGGCUGGCAAGGCGCAU